Molecule: long non-coding RNA, 519 nt
Filed under: Solanum tuberosum (potato)
Lineage: Eukaryota; Viridiplantae; Streptophyta; Magnoliopsida; Solanales; Solanaceae
Description: long non-coding RNA (STUB_LNC005104)
Source: RNAcentral
UUUAAUUUGCGAGAUGUUACAAAACUCAAAUUAAACCUAGAAAAAGUUGAAAAAUCUGAAAAUCAAUCUGCUGCUGGUUUCCAAACCAUUUCGUUGAUAGCCAUUGAACUGGAGCUGAAGUUUUAUGUAUUAGUUGUUGCCACUUUAGAAAUAUAAGAAAAAAACUAGCUCGAGAAGUUGAAAUCCCCGAGUCAGGGAUUUGUUCCGAAUGAGUACUGUUUCAAUCGAUUUUUGUUGCUGAUUCCAGUCUGUUUCGUGGUUACCCAUUGAGUUUGGAGAGGAACAAUUUGAAGAAGAAGAAAAUUCGCCGUUAAAGCUCCAUCGAAGCUCAAGUUCGAAAAAUUGGAUUGCCGCAAACAAGCUUCGUUUCGGCUUUAAUAUUAUUGCAAAAGAUUAGGAACGUCUUGGAGAGCUCAUAUCUCAAAUUUGGGAUAAUUUGGUGGAGGAUUCGGCCGACUUUCAGCUGCAAAUUGGUUUUGUAAAAAGAAGAAUGCUGAAUUUUAAUUUUUUAUUAUGUUA